Molecule: non-coding RNA, 15531 nt
Organism: Callithrix jacchus (white-tufted-ear marmoset)
Lineage: Eukaryota; Metazoa; Chordata; Mammalia; Primates; Cebidae
Source: RefSeq, a predicted model, not a curated record
GGACAUUUGGCCACACCUGGAUGUCAUUUUUAUUGUGACAGUGCGAGGGGAGUGGCUCAUAGUGGCAUCUAAUAGAGGCCAGAGAUGCUACUAAACAUGUUACAAUACAGGUCAUCACCCCAAGCAAAGAAUCUCCCAGCCCCAAAUGCCAAUAGGUCUGAAGUUGAAAACCCACGUUUAGGCUGGGCUUGGUGGCUCAUGCCUGUAAUCCCAGCACUUUGGGAGGUCGAAGUGGGCAGAUCACCUCAAGUCAGGAGUUCAAGACCAGUCUGGCCAACAUGACGAAACCCCAUCUCUACUAAAAAUACAAAAAUUAGCUGGGUGUGGUGGCGCAUGCCUGUAAUCCCAGCUACUCAGGAGGUUGAAGCAGGAGAAUCAUCGCUUGAACUUGGGAAACGGAGGUUGUAGUCAGCUGAGAUCAUGCCAUUACACUCUAGCCUGGCCGACAGAGCAAGACACCAUCUCAAAAAAAAAAAAACCACCCAGGUUUCACUUAAGUAGGGGGCCUGCUGCAUAACAGAAUGUGGGUUGUCAAAAGGAGGCUCUAAGCAGAACAAGGGCCCUGGGAUGGCCAAAGGUUGGAAGGGCCUACUCCCCUCCCGUCCUCCUCCUGCCAAGUGGCCCCUCCCCUCCCAAUUUGCAGUGCGUGCUGGGGGUGGGGAGGAUGGUGGCAGAGAAGGCAUGGGUGGGGCUGGCAGGGAGACGUGCUGGAAAGUGUACAGCCUCUGGCAGACAGUGGCCGGUGACCGUCUCUCCAGCUCCUGUAUCAUGGGCUCAACGUGUUCUUUGAAUGGGGGCAGAUAUCCUCAUUGGGGUCUGGCUUGCCUCAUGGAACCCCCCACCCUGGAAAUAGGGACCCCUCGCCACUCAGCUUGCAGAUCUCAAAGCCCCAGUGGCAGGUUUGCCCUUCUUCAGUCCUCAAAUUUCAAAAUGUGAUUUGUUUCAGUAACACGAGCACAGAGGGAAGGGAGAGGGGAAAGUGAGUGAGUAGGGAAAGAGAGAGAGCGAGUCAAAACCAGUGAGGGCGACCAGGACAGAGCCUGGGAGGGAUGGACAGACUCAGCAGGAGAAAGAAAAAUACAGACUGAGACAGAGAGAGAGACUGAGACGGAGCUGGAGAGGGACAAAUGGAGAGUGGCGGAGAAACAGAAAACCAAAUGAAAGAGAGCCAGACCGACUGAGAGUGGCAAAAAGAAACAGAAAGGGAGAAGGAGCAAAAGAGAGAAAGCUUGACAGCGGAAGGGCAGACUAAAAGCGUGCACUAGAGACAUCUUUCCUGGCAAACUCAUAGUCCACAGCCCACUAACUCUCCAGGGCUUCGCUGCAUUUCAGCCACAGAACUGGGGACUUGGGAAAGUUUUCUCAUCGCAGGUCCGGGACGAGCGAGCAUUGUUCCCAUUACUGCCGGUAUUCUCUGCGAACUGGACAUUAGCCAACAGGAAAUUCCUGGACAAAUCUUUCCACUCGGUCUUUUAAAACUUUAAUUUUUUUUAUUUUAAUUUUUUUUUUCUUUAGGGACAAAAGAAAAAAAGAUCAAGAGGCAAAAAAAAAAAAAAAGAAAUGAACCACCUGGUGUAGGAAAAACAUAUCUAGCCACAGCCCCAGUCAGGCCAGGGGAAGCUGAGAAUCCAUUGUGCCCACCAUGCCUCAUUCUUCCCCUGGAAGGAUUUAUGACCUCACACUCCCAUGACAUCACAAUGCGUUGCCAUGGGUCCUACUUUAUUAUCAUAAACAAAGCGCUUGUUCCUUGGGCCAUUGCCUGUCUGAGCAGGAGGGGGAAAAAGGCUCUGGGUAAUGUGUUUUCUUGGGAAGGCAGCUUGUUCAGAAGUCUGAAAAGCUGCAAAAAUAGUUGUACAUAAAGUUCCCUCCCUGUAGCCUCUGGACAGGGUUUGGGACGGAAUGAGAAGGAUGAAGUCAGCUCCCUACAGGAGGAUCUCAGGCUCUGCGUGUUCUUACUGCCAAAAAGCAGCUUCCCCAGGCUUCCUUCGCUACUCCAAACAAGGUUUGUAUCCAUUCAGUGAAAAUGCAGGGAGUACCUACUAGGUGCUAGACACUGACAGAGCUGGGGCAGGGAUCAAUGAAAAACACAGUGCCAGCCCCACCCCUUUGAGAAUUUGUAAACGCUCAACAAGCCCACAACUAACAUGAAUGUGUAACAUUGUAAUUUGGUUAAGUGUGCUGAAGGAAGCAAGCAGGAAGCUAGGAUGAGAAUGGAGGGAAGAGGCUACUUACUUGAGUAAUCUGGGAGGGCCUCUCUGAGGAGGUGACAUUUUAGACAAGACCUGAAGAAGAAAUCGGCUGUGAAGGGCAGAAGGAAGCGGCAGUAACUAAGGCAGGGCCAGCCACGCCAGGCAGAGUGACCGUCAGGUUCUAAGAUCUCACCAGGGACCUCUUCCCACGUAUUUUAUAGAAUUCCUGGGUAGCUGACUCAGAUGAGAGGGCUUAUUAUGAGGAGUCAUCGUCGUCAUGAGUCUGAGCUGAGUAAAGCUUCCACACCCUGCCACAGCCAUGCCAGAAAACCCUCAUUUCUAUUGCACAACUGUCGGGUUGGCACUUGAAAACAAGUCAGCCAAGAGCAGAAAUACCUGUCGGACCCAGAGAGGGGGCUGUCCCCGGCAUGAGUUCAUUUUGCAGAAAGCAAAUGAUCCUCUUAAGCAGCAGGAAGGAGAGAAGGAGGGGAGGGGAGAGAAGCCUUGGGGACAGAUUUGGGGGCACUGCCUGUGGGUCAGGAGGCCAGGUGAAGGACAGGUGGGCAAGCCGUCCCCAACCCUCGCAGGAGAUGAACUGUGAGGGAGUUAGGACUCUGGAUAAGGAAUAGAAGGAGAGGCUGGAUGCGGUGGCUCAUGCCUGUAAUCUUAGCACUUUGGGAGGCCCAGGCGGGUGGAUCACGAGGUCAGGAGUUCAAGACCAGCCUGGCCAACGUGAAACCCCAUCUCUACUAAAAAUACAAGAAUUAGCCAGGCGUGUGGUGGGUGCCUAUAAUCCCAGCUAUUUGGGAGGCUGAGACAUGAAAAUUGCUUGAACCCGGGAGGCAAAGGUUGCAGUAAGCCAAGACCACGCCAUUGCAUUCCAGCUUGGGCAACAAGAGUGAGACUGUCUGAAAAAGAAAAAGAAUAGAACAAGAGCUUCUAGAUCAUCUGGACAAUGAUGGGGACAGAUGGGGACAUGGAGGCCCCAGGUGGAGAAGGGCCUUCCCGGUACAGGAAGUUAGGCACAGGGCCCUACUGCUCACUUGCUGUGUGACCUUGGGAAGCUCACUUCACAUCUCUGAGCCCCUGUUCCCACUGUAAAAUGGAAAGAAUGCACAUAAGGCUCUUUGCAUUGCUGCAAUAUAGAGAGAGGGUUGCUUUUAAACCAUGCUGACUUUUCUUCAUUAGUUCAUUUCAUAUGUCAGGUGCCCCUGACAGGUGAAUGUGGCUGUCCAUGAUUUACAGAUGAGGAAACUGAGGCCAGGAGGGGUUGAGUAACACACUCGAGGUUCCACAGCCAGGUAUAAGGACCAGAUCCCCACCCUACCUGCCUGACUUUUAAAUAGAGCCUGUGUUGCCAAUGAUGGAAGCUUGGCCUUGUCCUGGGAUGCAUGGCCCUGUGUAUGUAAUUGGUGCUGACUCUGUGACACAGAGCUAGGGUGGAGACAAGGCUGCAGAGAUGAGAUGCACAGCUUGCCGACCAGCAGUGACGGGGUGCCAGAGACCCACAGGCCCGAAGAGACACCAGGACGUGGGAGAGAAGAGAGGACUCCGUUCCAUUCCGUGUGCUGAGUGAUAUGUCCAGAUGUUAUUUCUUUUGUUUGUUUCUGACAGAAUCUCUCUCUGUCAUCCAGGCUGGAGUGCAGCGGCAUGAUUUUGGGUCACUGUAACCCCCACCUCCAGGAUUCAAGCAAUUCUCCUGCCUCAGCCUCCCGAAUAGCUAGGAUUACCGACACGCACCACUAUGCCCGGCUAAUUUUUGUAUUUUCAGUAGAGAUGGGAUUUCACAAUGUUGACCAGGCUGGUCCUGAACUCCUGGCCUUAAGUGAUCUGCUCGCCUCGACCUCCCAAAGUGCUGGGAUUACAGAAUUGGCUCAUGCAAUUGGGGGCUCAGAAGUACCACAGUCUGCCAUCAGCAAGCUGAAGGCCCAGGAAAGCCGUGGUGUCAAUCAGCCUCAGUCUGAAGACCUGAGAACCAGAGAAGUCUAUGAUGUCAAUACCAGUCCAAGAUCAGGAAAAGGUAAGAUAAAGUGUCCCAGCUCAAACACUGAGGCAGGGGGAAGAAAAAGUAAGUGCAUUCUCCCUCUGCCUUUUGAUUUAUUCAGGAUUGGACAGUGUCCGGCCACACGGGAAAAGGCAGUCUACUUGUACUGAAUCCACAGAUUCAAAUGCUAAUCUCACCUAGAAACAAUGUUCAGUCUGGGCACCCUGUGGCCCAUUCAAGUUGAUGUAUAUAAUUAACCAUCAUGGUUGGCUUCAGGCCCUGUGGAAUCUAGGGGUGCAAAUAUCACCAGAACCUGGCCUUUUUUCCAGACUGCUUCCAUUCCUAUCCCCACAAAAUGGCUGCCAGAAGGCCCAGUCCCAUUUUCUCAGCUUCAAAUUCAGUAGAAAAGAUUGGAGAGCCUUUUCCAAAGGUUGUUGCAAGAAUACUUGCAUCUCAUUGGCUCUGACUGGACCACAGGCCCAUCUCUGAUCCAAUCCCUGUGGCCAGGAAAGUGCAGUGUUCUGAUUGGCCAAUCCUGAGUCACAUGGCACCCCCAGAGCUGAAGUAUGCCUGUUUUUGUUUUAUUCUGUUUUUUCUUCAGACAGAGUCUCACUCUGUCUCCCAGGCUGGACCUCAGUGAUGUGAUCUUGGCUCACUGCAACCUCAGCCUCCCUCAUUCAAAUGAUUAUCCUGCCUCAGACACCUGAGUAGCUGGGAUUGCAGGUGCGCACCAUCACACGUGGCUAAUUUUUGAAUUUUUAGUAGAGUUGGGAUUUCACUAUGUUGGCCAGGCUGAUUUUGAAAUCCAGAACUCAGGUGAUCCGCCUAGCUUGGCCUCCCAAAGUAAUGGGAUUACAGGUGUGAGCCACCACGCCCGCCCAGGAUGCAUUUAAUAUUACCCAAAGCCCAGGAUGCAGAUGGAGUAGGUGGGGGACAGGUGAGUCCCCCUAGAGGAAAAUUGGGGUGCUAGCUCAGUGGAACCCAACAAUAGAAUUCAGGAAGCAUUCCUUAUGCCAAAUGUUUUUCUUUAAGCAGUUCCAAACACCAAAGGAGUUAAAUAAACAUUGUUAGUCAUGUUCUGUCAGUGAUAAAUUGAAAGAGUGACGACAGCCUGCAGGUCACUGGCAAAGCAAACACCCACCCCGCUCGCCCUGAGUCUUUCACCUUUGCUCUCAGCAUGAGAUUUAACUACCUGCAAGUUGAGACAGAAGGGGUCAUUUAUUGAACAGACGGUUACUAUAGCCAGCCACGCACACCGUGUCUGUAACAUUCUCUUAGAUCAGGAAAUUGAAAGUCCUGGAAAUUAAGGGGCAGACAUAAAGAUUGUGUAGCAGAGCGCAGGGCUGGGUCCCAAGCACCAGGGGCAGUGCCCCUCUGCCCAGAUAUUCUAAGCCUUUUAGGGCAGACAUAGAACCCAGAGAAGUCCUCUGUGAUGCCCACAGAGUUGCAGUCUUCACCUCCCUAAAAGGGGAAGUGGGAUCCAGUCAAAAGGAAAUCAGAAAGUUGGGGGUGGCCAGCUGUGGUGGCUCAUGCCUGUAAUCCCAACGCUUUUGGAGGCCGAGGCAAGAGGAUCACCUGAGAUCAGGAGUUCAAGAUCAGCCUGGCCAACAUGGUAAAGCCCCAUCUCCACUAAAAAUACAAACAUUAGCCAGGUGUAGUGACAUGCACCUGUAAUUCCAGCUACUCAGGAGGUUGAGGCAGGAGAAUAGCUUGAACCUGGGAGAUGGAGGUUGCAGUGAGCUGCGAUCACGCCACUGCACUCCAGCUUAGGUGACAGAGUGAAACUAUGCCUUAAAAAAGAGAGAGAGAGAGAGAGAGAGAGAGAGAGUGGUAACUACAAUGGGUCUUUCUGUUAUUGUAUUCUUCUCGGGUGUGUAUGUGUGUGUGUGUGUGUGUGUGUGUCUGUCUGCAUCUGUCUUCACUGCUGUAUCAUAAGUUCCUUGUGGAUGGAGCUUUUAUCUUAAUUCUCUUUGUACACUGAGGGCUCAGUAACAGGGUGCCCAACUCCAAGAUGCUCAAUAAAUGUGUACUGGACAGAACAAAUGAACAGGGCGAGUAGGGACAGUGAGUUUCUUUGACCUGAACACAAGGAAGACUCAGUGCCACCCGACUGUCCUAAAAGCUAGACCCAAAACUAAGAUGGUAUCCAGUCUGUCCAGCACUAGAGUGGCCCAACUUUUAUUUCUUCUCUUUAUUUCUCCCAUAAGGUGAUGAGUCCUGAAGCUUAGCCUGUGUCUCUUUCCUCCUUCGAAGCUUUUCCCGGUGCUUUGCUCUGGCAAGACCUCGCUCCUGACUGCCAGCCGGGACAGCUGGUCCACCCCAGGCCAGGGAAUAAACACCUCCCUUCCGUCAACACCCCACUGCCCCUACCUCUGUACCUUUGCAAUCCGAGCUCCUCUCUUCCCUCCCCUCUCUUCGCCCCUCCUCGUCUCUCCCACCCCCUGCGGCAUCGUGCUUGCAUUUCCCAAGUGUGGAACUCACUUGGCCACCAUGGUUCAGCCUGAUCCUUCUGCAUCAAUGCCCUUCCUUGUUUCUCUAGAUGUCUCCAGCCAGCUCUCCUUUUGGAGACAGUUCAUCACCACCUCUUUCCAGAAGCGUUCCUAUUCACCCCUUCCACCCUAGAGUGGAAUUAGGAAUCCCUUCUCUUCCUCCUUAAGGCCUCUGUAUUUAACCAAUGCAGCAGCAGCCUUUCUUGCAUGGAAGGAAAUUGUCUGCCACCCCAUCUCUCUCCACUGCUAGAUAUUUUUUAAUUUUUGAGAAGGAGUUUUGCUCUUGUUGACCAGGCUGAAGUGCAAUGGUAUGACUUAGGCUCACUGCAACUUCUGCCCUCCAGGGUCAAGCAAUUCUCCUGCCUCAGCCUCCAGAGUAGCUGAAAUUACAGGUGCCCACCACCAUGCCUUGCUAAUUUGGGGGGAUUUUUUUUUUCUUUUUUUUUUUUUAGUAGAGACGGGGUUUCACCAUGUUGGCCAGACUGGUCUCGAACUCCUGAUCUCAGGUUAUCCACUCGUCUUGGCCUCCCAAUGUGCUGGGAUUACAGGCAUGAGCCACUGCACCUGGCCAGAUAUGAACAUCUAUCUUAAUGACACAAAUGAUAUCAUUUGUUUUCAUCUUUGCUGCAUCUAAGAAUGCCUGGCACACGGGUGACCAACUAUCCUAGUUUGCCCAGGACAUGGGACUUCCAGUGCUAAACCCAGGCAAGUCUCAGGCAAACUGAGUUUUAGGGAAAAGCUGGCCACCCUACCCUACCUACCUCCAUGACACCAUGUAAAACUUUACUCCAGUCAACCUGGAUUAAAUCCUAGUCACUUGCUAAUCUUGUAUAUUUUAUGAUUUCCUCAUUUCACACAUUUAUGUCCAGUCUUCUAAUUUUGCUUGAGAGCAUAGAUCUUUCCUUACAGUAAUCCACAGUAACCCUUCAGAGCCACACAGAAACAGGCUUCAAAAGAUCUUCAUUAUCAUCAUUGUUUAAAGUCCUGUCUAAAUUCUUCAUGUAUGUUUUUUCUCUAAAUCUCCCAGUGCCCUCAUGAGGUAGAGACUCUCUUUGUCAUUUCAUGAGACUGGAAAAGUCUGGCAUCUGAGUGACCGAUCCAAGCUAGCACAUCUAGGAAGUUGUAGGAAUUAAAACUGGUAUAGGCCGAGCGCAGUGGCUCACACCUAUAAUCCCAGCACUUUGGGUGCCUGAGGCAAAAGGAUGUCUUGAGGCCAGGAGUUCAAGACCAGCCUGGGUAACAUGAGGCACCAUCUCUACAAGAAAUUAAAAAUUAGCCAGAUGUGGUGGCAAGUGCCAGUAGUCCCAGCAACUUGGGAGGCUGAGGUAGGAGGAUGCUUGAGCCCAGGAGGUCGAGGCUACAGUGAUCACACCACUGCACUCCAGCCUAGGCGGCAGCAUGAGACCCUGUCUCUAAAACAAAAACAAAACAGGCCUGUCAGAGUCUGAAUCCUAUGCUUAAGGGGCACCCAGGUUGGUCCCUCUUCAGCACCCAGGCCCAGAUUCUGUAGCAUGUGGUGGCUUCCCAGUACCACCCAGUAUCAUUGGGUCCCUGAAUGCAUGGCUGGAUGAAAGUCCCAUAGAGUGCUGUCCUCCAGGUGCUAGCCUGUGAUCUUGAGCUCUAGAGAGAAGAGAAUCAACACCACUCCCAAGUGGGGAGAAAUUGUCACUCUCCAGCUCUAGAGAUUUGGGCCAAAUGAAAAUGAAGGUCCCUCCCUCAUGUCUAACAGUCCUGACAGCUCCCCCUUGGACACAAGAGCAGGGAAAACGCGUCCCCAAAGCCAGGAGUAUAUUUGUUUCCCAGGACUGCUGUCACAAAGUACUGUAAACUGUGUAGCUUAACACCACAGAAAUUAUUAUGUCAUGGUUCUGGAGGCCAGAAGUUCAAAAUCAAGGUUUGGGUAGGGUUGGUUCCUUCUGGAGGUUUCUGGGGAGAGUCUGAUCCAGGCCUCUCUUCUGACUCCUGGUGGCUCUAGGCAAUCCUUGGCGUUCCUCUGCUCGUAGAUGCUUCACUCCAGCCUCUACCUCUGUCUCCACCUGGCCUUGCCUCUUUUUGUUUCUGUGUCUUCUUUUUUUUUUUGAGGCAAAGUCUCACUCUGUCACCCAGGCUGGAGUGCAGUGGCUCAAUCUCAGCUCACUGCAACCUCCACCUCCCGGGUUCAAACAAUUCUCCUGCCUCAGCCUCCUGAGUAGCUGGGAUUACAGGCAUGCACCACCACACCCGGCUAAUUCUCUUCUUAUAAAGACACCAGUCGUUGGAUUUAAGGCUCACCCUAAAUCCAGGAUGAUGGCAUCUGGAGAUCCUUAACUAAUUACGCCUAUGUAUUAGUCCAUUUUACACUACUGAUAAACACAUACCCAAAACUGGGUAAUUUAUAAAGAAAAAGAGGUUUAAUGGAAUCGCAGUUCCACGUAGCUAGGGAGGCCUCACAAUCACCAUGGAAGGUGAAAGGCACGUCUUACAUGGUGGCAGCAAGAGAGAAUGAGAGCCGAGCAAAAGGGAUUUCCCCUUUUAAAACCAUCAGAUCUCACGAAACUUAUUCACUACCAUGAGAACAGUAUUAAGGGAAACCUCCCCCAUGAUUCAAUUACCUCCCACUGGGUCCCUCUCACAACACGUGGGAACUAUGGGAGCUACAAUUCAAGAUGAGAAUUGGGUAGGGACACAGGCAAAUCAUAUCGACCUACAAAGAUCCUUUUUCCAAAUAAGGUCACACACCAGCAUUCUGGGUGGACAUGAAUUUGGGAGGGACACUGUACAACCCAUUACAGAAGUUCAUUACCUUGAAGGCCCCAGUGUCUGCUGAAAACAUGACCACAUUCCCCACUUCCCCAGGCCCUCCUUCCACAGGACAUCUCUGCAACAGCUGCUGUGGAGGAGGCCACUGCCCUCACCCUGCAUAGACCACCCCCACCCUCAACGCACACCCAUUCUGCCCUGCCAGGGUCCUUGGAAGUCUGGCAGCUCCAUGACAAGCCCCAUGCACUGGUGGGAGAUGUGGAGGAGGGGGGAGCCACUGUUGCAGAAUCCCAGCAUGAGAAGAAGGAAAGUGCUGACUUAAAAAUUGAAACCCUGACAGAUGUGGAGCUUUUUAACUCUGCGAUGGGCCUGUUGGCGCUUGUCAGAUUCUAGCACGUUUGCUAAUGUGCAUUUUCAUCAAAGGAAGAGCCUGCUUAGAGAUCCCAUGGCCAGCCCAACCUCUUUGCUUCCACCUCCCUGCUUGGUUGUCCCUGCCUGUUCUCACCCUUCCCUCCUCCUCUGCCGUCCAGUCCCAGCCUUUCUUUGUUCCUGUCCUUUCCUCCCCUUCCCUUCCUCUGUCUCUGUGCCUCCUGUCAUCAUCCCAGGGCUCCCACCCCAUCCUAUCUUCCUUCUGUCUUUCCUCUCCUAUUCUGUCUCCAUUCUCUUCCUUUUCUUUCAGUUCAGCAAGACAAACAUUUAUUGCAGCCACUACAGAAUUUCAGGAACUGAGCUCUCAGUGAGUGUCUCAGUCCAUCUGAGCUGCUCUAACACAACUCCUCAGGUUGGGUGAUUUAUCAGCAAUAGGGGUAUAUUGCUCACAGUUCUGGAGGCAGGGAAGUCCAAGAUCAAGACGCCCACAAAUGCUGUGUCUGGCGAGGGCUUGGUCUCUUCUUCCUAGUUGGGCCUUCUUGCUGUGUCCUCAGAGACUGGACAGGGCAAAAGGGUGAACAAGCUCUCUCAGGCCUUUUCUAUGAAGGCAUUAACCCUAUUCACGAGGUCUCCACCCUCAUGACCUAAUCCCAAAGGCUCCACCUCCUAGGGUUCAAUUUCAACAUAUGGAUUUUAGGGGCACAUAAAUUCAGAACGUAGCAAUGAAAGAAGAAACAAAGCAAGGCCAAGUGUGGUGGUUCACACCCAUAAUCCCAGCACUUUGGGAAGCUGAUCACUUGAGGUCAGGAGUUGGAGACCAGCCUGGCAGACAUGGCGAAACACCAUCUCUACUAAAAACACAAAAAUUAGCCAUGCGUAGUGGUGUGCUCCAGUCGUCCCAGCUACUCAAGAGGCUGAGACAUGAGAAUGGCUUGAACCCAGGGGAUGGAGGUUGCAGUGAGCCAAGAUCACUCCACUGCACUCCAGCCCAGGCAACAGAGUGAGACUCCAUCUCAAAAAAAGAGAAGGCAAUAGGGCUUGUCCCUGCGGGAUCACAGUUACCCGUUCCUGCCCUGCCAUGUUGCUAUCUUCUCUGGAUCUCUUUCCUUUCUGAGCAGCUUGUGUUACAGGGUCUUGCUCUGUUGCCCAGGCUGGUCUCAAGCUCCUGGCCUCAAGCAAUCCUUCUAUCUCAGGCUCCCAAAGCACUGGGAUGACAGGCGUGAGCCACUGUGUCCAGCCACUCUUUCUUCUUUCCCCUCCUCCCUUCAUCUUCCUCCUUUAUCCUGGGAUCUUUUCUGUCUCCCUCAUUUUUCAGGCCUGUUCAAAUAACUCUUCCUUGCCCGUAUUAGAUGCUGGAGAUGCAGACAAGAGUAAGAUAAGUUUGCUGUCUCAAAGUCUCCUUUUCCCUCCCUCUCUGCUCCUUCUGUCCUCUCUCUACUUUUUUUUUUUUUUUUUUUUUUUUGGAGAUAGAGUCUCACUCUUUCAUCUAGGCUGGAGUACAGUGGCAUGGUCUUGGCUCACUGCAACCUCCAUCUCCUGGGUUCAAGCAAUUAUCCUGCCUUAGCUUCCCAAGUAGCUGGGAUUACCAGCAUGUGCCACCACAUCCGGAUAAAUUUUGUAUCAUCAUGUUUGCCAGGCUGGUCUCAAACUCCUGACCUCGAAGGAUCCACUGGCCUCAGCCUCUCAAAGUUCUGGGAUUACAGGCGUGAGCCACUGUGCCCCGCCUCUAUUUCCUCUUUUCUUCCCUGUCAUCCUUCCCUCUCACUCCCCAAAACCCUCCCAUUGUUGUGCAUUCCCUCGCCUAUGCCAAGUCUCAGGCUUUAGCAUCCUGUACAAGAAAGGCUAUGUGCUAAUUGCACAGCCCCCUCCGGCUUCCUCUGAUGAUGAGGCCAGGCCUCAUACACCAUGUUGCAGGCAGUGCUGGGGCCACCGGCCAGGAACAGCUGAUGCAUGUGGACAGACAGCCGAUCCAAAAGGCCCCUGCUGUAGUGGCCCCGGGCCCAAAACUGCUGAUUUGCUGAAUAUGUCUGAGUGCACAGGAGCAGUUCUCAGAGGCCUCAGCCCUGUGGGUGGCCAGGGAAGGCUGAUGCAAGCAGACACAUGAUCAGUAGUAGAAUGAGAAGUUCCCUGCCCUGGCUCUGAACUGGGCUGGCUGAUUGGAAUAGACAUGCUGGGUCACUGGUUGGUUGAACCCCAGGGGUGUCCAGAGCAGAUCAAAGGCAGAGGAUGCCCAGGUGUUAAAACCGUGUUUAAAAAGGAAGUCAGGGCCAGGUGUGGUGGCUCACACCUGUAAUCCCAGCACUUUGGGAGGCCAAAGCAGGGGGAUCACUUGAACCCAGGAGUUUGAGACCAGCCGGGGCUCAACAUGGCGAAAUCCCCUCUUUACUAAAAAUACAAAAAUCAGCUGGGUGCGAUAGUACAUGCUUGUAGUCCCAGUUAUUCAGGAGGAGGAGUUGGGAGAAUCUAUUGAGCCUGGGAGGCGGAGGUUGCAGCGAGCCGAGCUCGUACCACUGCUGGUACGACAGCCUCAAACUCCUGGGCUCAAGCGAUCCUUCUACCCUAGCUCCUGGAGUAGCUAGGGCUACAGGCUCAUGCCACCAUGCCUGGCUGAUUUUUUUUUUUUUUUAGUUUUUUUGUAGAGAUAGGGUCCCACCAUGUUGUCCAGCCUGGGUGACAGAGUGAGACCCUGUCUCAAAAAAACAAGGAAAUCAGGGCUGGGGCUUCCUUUCCUGGGCUGGAGGUUUGCAGGACAACCCUGGAUUGGGUUGUGGGUUUUUUUGUUUUUUUUUUUUUUGAAUAUUCAGGAGGUCAAAAAGAAGGCAGCUCUGGGUGCGAACUGUCGCUCUGCUGACUGUGGUGGAUCCUCUCCUUCUCCCUGUAACCCCAUGUUCCCAACAUCUGUUCUACCCAACUGUUAACACCAGGCAUGGAACUUCCAUUCCCCUAGCCCAUGAUUGGUCACCGGUGACCACGUGAUCUAGUGACCGGAAAGUCUGCGGGUCCUUUGGGAAAGCUUCAUUCGUUUUAAGGAGGAGACACUGAACAGUCAUCUCUGUCUGAAUGAAAGGCUAGGAAGCGCUGCAGCCUUAAACAGAGUCGACCCCAAGGAUGUUAGAUCCAAGUUGUAAAGAAUUCACAACGUUAAUGAUGAUACCACGCAGCCAUGGGCUGUAUUAUAGCUACAUUGUGCCUUUCCUUGGAUAUUUUAUUUACUUAUUUAUUUAUUAUUUUUUUUUUAUUUUAUUGAGACGGAGUUUCACUCUGUCGUCCAGGCUGGAGUGCAGUGGCUCAAUCUCAACUCACUGCAACCUCUGCCACCCAGAUACAAGAGAUUCUCCUGCCUCAGCCUCCCAAGUAGCUGGGAUUACAGGCACCCGCCACCAAGCUUGGCUAAUUUUUGUAUUUUCAGUAGAGGCAGGGUUUCGCUAGGUUGGCCAGGCUGGUCUCGAACUCCUGACCUCAGGUGAUCUGCCUGCCUCUGCCUCCCAAAGUGCUGGGAUUACAGGCGUGAGCCUCUGUGCCCAGCCAGAUUUUUUUUAAAUUGGAAAUAAGGUCUCUGCUCUGUUGCUCAUGUUGGGGUGCAGUGUUGUGAUCAUUUCUCCCUGCAGCCUCAAACUCCUGGGCUCAAGCGAUCCUUCUACCCUAGCUCCUGGAGUAGCUAGGGCUACAGGCUCAUGCCACCAUGCCUGGCUGAUUUUUUUUUUUUUUUAGUUUUUUGUAGAGAUAGGGUCCCGCCAUGUUGUCCAGGAUGGUCUUGAACUCCUGGGCUCAAGAGGUCCUCUUGCCUCAGCCUCCCAAAGUGCUGGGAUUGUAAGCAUGAGCCACUGCGUACUGCCUGGAUUUCUUACUAUGUGAAGUAGUGAUGUUUCUUACAACCAUUUGACCCCACCUAAGUUUGAUCUGUAACUUGCAGCCUGAAGCACUCUAAAUAACUGACUAACAUAGUAUUUGCCUUCUCUGAGUAUCAUGUGAGAUCAUGCUGCUUCUUCCCUAGGAUUGCUGUAAGAAUUCAUGAAAUGAUGCAUUUAGCACAAUGCCUGGCACGUAGGAAGCACUCAGGAAACAUUAUUGUAAUUAUUAUUAUUAUUUGAGAUGGAGUUUAGCUCCUGUCGCUCAGUCUGGAGUUUAAUGGCACAGUCUUGGCUCACUGCAACCUCCAUCUCUUGGGUUCAAAUGAUUCUCCUGCCUCAGCCUCCCAAGUAGCGGGGAUUACAGGCGCGUGCCAUCACGUCUGGCCAAUUUUGUAUUUUUAGUAGAGACAGGGUUUCACCAUGUUGGCCAGGCUGGUCUCAAAGUCCUGACCUCAGGUAAUCCACCCGCCUUGGCCUCUCAAAGUGUUAGAAUUACAGGCAUCAGCCACCACGUCCAGCCCAUUAUUGUAAUUAUUACUUAGCCAUCAAUACAUUAUUGUCAAUACAUUAUAGUCAGUUAAAUGUGGUAGUUGUUAAUGCUGUUUGCCAAAUAGCUCUGGUUCUCUCCCCUUCCAAGGAUAAUAUGAUUGUACUUCUUAAUUACUUUUUGGGUAGGAGAUGCCAUGUGACUAAUUCACACAGGCUGGGUCUGCUCCAACUGCAGCAUCACCCUCUGCCGACUCACGCAGGCCAUCAUGGCCUGGCAGAGUGGGCAAAACGCUGCCUACUGCAGUGGCACUUGGGCAGAGGUGUCCCUGACGUAGCUGCCUCCAAGUGACCAACUCCAAGUAAUCCAGCUUUCUCUCAACUCACACACACAGCCACAUUCUCCCCAAGGCACCUACAUGCCACCCACAGGCAGGUCCUUUAAGACCAGUGCAGCCUGGAGCUUCUCAGCCAUGGUGGCUCUUCCCUGUAUGAGUAAUUCUUUCCGGCGGGACCCAAAUUGCUCCUCUUGCAAUCUGGCUUCCAUAGGGUUGUACUGCAAAUCUGGAGAACAUGGAUCUGUGCACAAGGCCCCAUGGCAGACAGGGCCUUAUCACCACUGGCUUGAAAGAUGGGUGAUUAUGAAACAAACAAAAUAAUAAGUGUUGGCGAGGGUGUGAAGAAUCAGAACCCUUGUGCGUUCCUUCCAUGCUGCAUUCCCAUGUGUUACGCCUGUUACACUGCUGGGGGAAUGUAACGUGUUGCAGUUGCUGUCAGAAGCAGUUUGGGUGCUGCUGAAAAUGCCCAACAUAACAGCUACCCUAAAACCCAGCAAUCCUACUCGCAGAUAUACACCCAAGAGAAUGGAAAACAUAUGUCCACACAGAAACGUGUACAUGUAACAAGUGUAUGUACGUCGUAUUAUUCACAAAAGCCAAAAGGGAUAUGUGACCCAAAUGCCCAUCGAUGAGUGGGAAGAUGAGCAAAUUUUGGCACAGCCAUACAACGAGGCACGACGCGGCAGUGAAGGAAUUAAGUAUUGACACGCGCCACGCCGUGGGGGAAUCCAGCACCAUCAUGCUAAAGAAGUGAAGGAAGCCAGAAAGCAAAAGUUGCAUAGUGUAUGAUUCCAUUUCUAGGAAAUGUCCAGCAUAGGUAAAUCCAUAGAGACAGAAAGCAUAUGAGUGAGUGGUUGCCAGGGACAACAGGAAGAGAAGCAGAGACGAGAGAGGAUAGGAGCAUAGCCAGUGAAUGAAAGAAAAAUGGCGGGUUUAGGGUUUCCUCUUGGGGUGACUGACAUCUUUUGGAACUUGAUAGAGGUGGUGGUUGCAGAACCCUGGGAAUGUGUUAAAUGCCACUGUGUUGUACAUUUCAACAUGGUCUAUUCUUUGUUGUUGUUUUUUGAGACCAAGUUUUGCUGUGUC